Molecule: long non-coding RNA, 588 nt
Filed under: Homo sapiens (human)
Lineage: Eukaryota; Metazoa; Chordata; Mammalia; Primates; Hominidae
Description: non-protein coding lnc-SATB1-8:5
Source: RNAcentral
UUCUCUUUCAGGUCGGGCCGGGCCCGGCCGCUUCCGCGAGCGCCCUGCAGACUGAGGGAGAGAGAGAGAAAGAGGAGGGGAGGAGGAGGAGGAUUCAGGGAAUAGGAGCUGGGGAGCCCUUCUGCGCCACAGUGAUAUCAGUAUCAAGAUAAAAGUUUGGAAUGGGAGAAAAAUUCUCAAAGCCUGAAAGAAAAUCUGAGAUGCUUGGAGUGUAAAGAUCCCAUGGUCACAUAAAUCCGGAAAGCACUGAAUACUUUGUUUCCCAUAAGAGAAUCCCAUUAUAUGUUGAUGUAUUAAAAGACCUGAGAACCUGGUGGAGAUGCUGUUUUUCCAGCAGCUCAGUUAAGGGAGAACUUAGUUUGUCUCUGUUUCUUGAUUCCUCUUCAAUUUCUGUUUGCAAACCAAGACUUGUGUUUGGAGAACUCUAUUGUACUGAGCCUAAGUCAUUUUUGAUCUAUAACAAGAACAUGCAUUUUCACAUGUCAACCGGAUUUGUGGACCAGUAAAGUUCUCCCACAAGAAAUCUUCUAUGAUAUUGUCUCAGGGACCACCUGCAGCAGGAGCCCACAAAUUGAAUAAAUGCAACAU